Molecule: ribosomal RNA, 433 nt
Filed under: uncultured bacterium
Lineage: Bacteria
Description: partial 16S ribosomal RNA
Rfam family: Bacterial small subunit ribosomal RNA
Source: RNAcentral
AACGAACGCUGGCGGCAUGCCUAACACAUGCAAGUCGAACGAGACCUUCGGGUCUAGUGGCGCACGGGUGCGUAACGCGUGGGAACCUGCCCUUAGGUUCGGAAUAACUCCCCGAAAGGGGUGCUAAUACCGGAUAAUGUCUUCGGACCAAAGAUUUAUCGCCUUUGGAUGGGCCCGCGUUGGAUUAGCUAGUUGGUAGGGUAAAAGCCUACCAAGGCGACGAUCCAUAGCUGGUCUGAGAGGAUGAUCAGCCACACUGGGACUGAGACACGGCCCAGACUCCUACGGGAGGUAGCAGUGGGGAAUAUUGGACAAUGGGCGAAAGCCUGAUCCAGCAAUGACGGGUGAGUGAUGAAGGCCUUAGGGUUGUAAAGCUCUUUUACCCGGGAUGAUAAUGACAGUACCGGGAGAAUAAGCUCCGGCUAACUCCGUG